AAUCAACGCUGGCGGCGUGCCUAACACAUGCAAGUCGAACGCGAAAGCCCCGCAAGGGUAAGUAGAGUGGCAAACGGGUGAGUAACGCGUGGGUGACCUGCCUCCGAGCGGGGGAUAACGUCCCGAAGGGACGCUAAUACCGCAUAACAUCCUGCUUUUUAACAAGCGGAGAUCAAAGCUGGGGAGUCGCAAGACCUAGCACUCGAAGAGGGGCCCGCGUCUGAUUAGCUAGUUGGGGGGUAACGGCUCACCAAGGCGACGAUCAGUAUCCGGCCUGAGAGGGCGGACGGACACACUGGGACUGAGACACGGCCCAGACUCCUACGGGAGGCAGCAGUGGGGAAUUGUUCGCAAUGGGCGCAAGCCUGACGACGCAACGCCGCGUGGAGGAUGAAGAUCUUCGGGUCGUAAACUCCUUUCGAUCGAGACGAAUGGCCUCCGGGUGAACAAUCCGGAGGNGUGACGGUACCGAGAGAAGAAGCCCCGGCUAACUCCGUGCCAGCAGCCGCGGU
This 512-nucleotide ribosomal RNA is filed under the name uncultured bacterium. RNAcentral's name for it is "bacterial SSU rRNA". It matches the Rfam family "Bacterial small subunit ribosomal RNA", at positions 29 to 521 of the family's 1533-position model. The record is from RNAcentral.